CCCAGACUCCUACGGGAGGCAGCAGUGGGGGAUAUUGCACAAUGGGGGGAACCCUGAUGCAGCGACGCCGCGUGGGUGAAGGAGCGUUUCGGCGCGUAAAGCCCUAUCGGCAGGGAAGAAGGAGGACGGUACCUGACUAAGAAGCCCCGGCUAACUACGUGCCAGCAGCCGCGGUAAUACGUAGGGGGCAAGCGUUAUCCGGAUUUACUGGGUGUAAAGGGGGCGCAGACGGCAGCGCAAGCCAGGAGUGAAAGCCCGGGGCCCAACCCCGGGACUGCUCUUGGAACUGCGCGGCUGGAGUGCAGGAGGGGCAGGCGGAAUUCCUGGUGUAGCGGUGAAAUGCGUAGAUAUCAGGAGGAACACCGGUGGCGAAGGCGGCCUGCUGGACUGCGACUGACGUUGAGGCCCGAAAGCGUGGGGAGCAAACAGGAUUAGAUACCCCUGUAAU
This 448-nucleotide ribosomal RNA is filed under the name uncultured bacterium. RNAcentral's name for it is "bacterial SSU rRNA". It matches the Rfam family "Bacterial small subunit ribosomal RNA", at positions 330 to 794 of the family's 1533-position model. The record is from RNAcentral.